RNAcentral lists this long non-coding RNA (344 nucleotides) under Homo sapiens (human). RNAcentral's name for it is "non-protein coding lnc-P2RY1-3:4". Lineage: Eukaryota; Metazoa; Chordata; Mammalia; Primates; Hominidae. The record is from RNAcentral.
UGAUGAUUCUCUAUCAUGUUCCUCGUACACUGCACCAGCACCACUGCUUCCCUUCCCAGUGAGAACCCGAUCAAGCUUUAUCAUGCAGCCCAGAAGGGUGGGGGAAAGAAAAAGAAUUAGGAGAAAAUGUUGUAAAAGUAAUGAGAUAAUAUGAGAAUGUGCUUUGGGAACUGCGAAUCUGGAGUCACUGGUCCAUGAGGAAUCUAGGAUAAGAAGAAGGAAGCUGUGAAGAAUGGUUGGCUAACAGUGCUGGCAAGGAAUUCAGAUCAACAUACCUCUCAAAAGAAUGGAAGUCUCUUAAACUCAGGAGGUUGAUCAUGUGCAAAAGAAACAAUGACAAGAUA